GAUGAACGCUAGCUACAGGCUUAACACAUGCAAGUCGAGGGGCAGCAUGAACAUAGCUUGCUAUGUUUGAUGGCGACCGGCGCACGGGUGCGUAACACGUAUCCAAUCUGCCCGUUACUCGGGGAUAGCCUUCUGAAAGGAAGAUUAAUACCCGAUGGCAUGUAUUUCCGGCAUCGGAGAUACAUUAAAGAUUUAUCGGUAACGGAUGAGGAUGCGUACGAUUAGCUUGUUGGCGGGGUAACGGCCCACCAAGGCUACGAUCGUUAGGGGUUCUGAGAGGAAGGUCCCCCACACUGGAACUGAGACACGGUCCAGACUCCUACGGGAGGCAGCAGUGAGGAAUAUUGGUCAAUGGGCGCGAGCCUGAACCAGCCAAGUAGCGUGAAGGAUGACUGCCCUACGGGUUGUAAACUUCUUUUGUUUGGGAAUAAAUGAUACUACGUGUAGUAUUUUGCAUGUACCUUACGAAUAAGCAUCGGCUAAUUCCGUGCCAGCAG
RNAcentral lists this ribosomal RNA (497 nucleotides) under uncultured bacterium. RNAcentral describes it as "bacterial SSU rRNA". It matches the Rfam family "Bacterial small subunit ribosomal RNA", at positions 28 to 514 of the family's 1533-position model. The record is from RNAcentral.